CACUCCUACGGGAGGCAGCAGUGGGGAAUUUUGGACAAUGGGCGAAAGCCUGAUCCAGCAAUGCCGCGUGAGUGAAGAAGGCCUUCGGGUUGUAAAGCUCUUUUGUCAGGGAAGAAACGGUGAAAGCUAAUAUCUUUUGCUAAUGACGGUACCUGAAGAAUAAGCACCGGCUAACUACGUGCCAGCAGCCGCGGUAAUACGUAGGGUGCAAGCGUUAAUCGGAAUUACUGGGCGUAAAGCGUGCGCAGGCGGUUUUGUAAGUCUGAUGUGAAAUCCCCGGGCUCAACCUGGGAAUUGCAUUGGAGACUGCAAGGCUAGAAUCUGGCAGAGGGGGGUAGAAUUCCACGUGUAGCAGUGAAAUGCGUAGAUAUGUGGAGGAACACCGAUGGCGAAGGCAGCCCCCUGGGUCAAGAUUGACGCUCAUGCACGAAAGCGUGGGGAGCAAACAGGAUUAGAAACCCGAGUAGUCCCAUGAU
This 476-nucleotide ribosomal RNA is filed under the name uncultured organism. RNAcentral's name for it is "partial 16S ribosomal RNA". It matches the Rfam family "Bacterial small subunit ribosomal RNA", at positions 334 to 801 of the family's 1533-position model. The record is from RNAcentral.